UGAGGAAUAUUGGUCAAUGGGCGCGAGCCUGAACCAGCCAAGUCGCGUGAGGGAGGACGGCCCUACGGGUUGUAAACCUCUUUUGCCGGGGAGCAACGGGCGUCACGUGUGGCGCCACUGAGAGUACCCGGAGAAAAGCAUCGGCUAACUCCGUGCC
This 157-nucleotide ribosomal RNA is filed under the name uncultured bacterium. RNAcentral describes it as "partial 16S ribosomal RNA". It matches the Rfam family "Bacterial small subunit ribosomal RNA", at positions 355 to 509 of the family's 1533-position model. The record is from RNAcentral.